Molecule: ribosomal RNA, 229 nt
Filed under: uncultured bacterium
Lineage: Bacteria
Description: partial 16S ribosomal RNA
Rfam family: Bacterial small subunit ribosomal RNA
Source: RNAcentral
CGCGUAGGCGGUUGUUUAAGUCGGAUGUGAAAGCCCUGGGCUCAACCUGGGAACUGCAUUCGAUACUGGACAACUAGAGUACGAGAGAGGGAGGUAGAAUUCCACGUGUAGCGGUGAAAUGCGUAGAUAUGUGGAGGAAUACCAGUGGCGAAGGCGGCCUCCUGGCUCGAUACUGACGCUGAGACGCGAAAGCGUGGGGAGCAAACAGGAUUAGAUACCCUGGUAGUCC